ACUAGACCUUGGACAACCUCGGAGCACCGAGAUAACUCCGUGGCUGACAUCAUCAGUCUGCACGUAGCCAAGAAAUGUCACAGACCACUGCCCUCCUUGAACUGAUUAAACCCCUCUCAAAAUCUCUGGACCAGGCAGAAAACCGGGAGUUGGCCUUUGGACGAGAGGCCGCCUUCUCCCCAGGUGGCCGGCCUCCAGAGUAAAGCUCCUAUUCCUUCCCAGUCAACACUCCUCUCUUGAGUGGUGGCCGUCACAGCGACAGGCAGCGGAACAUGGGCUUCGGUGACACAUUCGGCGAGCCGGGCUGGGGGGCGGGCAGGCCCGGGCCUGGGCAGAGGAAGCAGAAGGCCAGGCCGCAAGCCCGGGCUCACUCUUUGCUUCCAGGCUAGUCGCUCUGAGGGUCACGGGAGACAAGCUGGAGCUUAGUUGGCCUUGGAAGGGAGCCUGGGGGGCCGGCCCUGCUGCUGUGCUUGUCUUGAGGAAACUGCCUGCUGAUUCCAGACCAACCACACCAACUGCUAGUUUCGCCUUUCGGUUUGAGGGGACAGGACGGGAGCCUUUGGCCGAGCUGCUUCUGGACCAGGACACCAUUGGGAACAUUGGUGACUUUACCAAGGCUUUGACUGGAAUGUCAUAUUUGGGAGUGACAUUCAUAGACUCACAUAUGACCAGACAGCUUUAGGGAACUAAGGUUGACUUUACGAAGCAUGGAACCAAUAAAGCCCCUUGGAGACGUUGGCCUGAUACCUGGCUGCCAGGGUUUCUAGCAACCUUACCAGGUAAAUACCCCUCAAAACGGAAAACAGGUACGUAACCUACUAGAUGUGCGCGCACAAGAUGGAAACAACCCAAACGUCCAUCAGUGGAUGAAUGAACACGCAGAUUGUGGUCUAAACAUACAGUAAAAUAUCAGCCAUCAAAAAAAAAUGAAGUUCUGAUACUGCUACCGUGUGGAUGAAGUUCAGAAUCGUUGCAUCGCAUGAAAGAAGCUGGACACAAAAUGCCACAUAUCUUAUGAUGACCUUUAUUUAAAAUAUCCAAAAUAGGUAAAUUGGCAGACAGGAUGCAGACUGCUGGCUGGCAGGGCCAGGGGAGGGACAUAUGGGGGCCACUGAUUAAUAGGGAUGGGGUUGCCUUUUGAGGCGAUGGAAACGUUUUAGAACUAGGCUGAGGUGUAUAACAUGAUAAAUAUUCUAAUGUCCCUGAACUAGGCACCUUAAAACCGUUAAUUUGA
Molecule: long non-coding RNA, 1234 nt
Organism: Leopardus geoffroyi (Geoffroy's cat)
Lineage: Eukaryota; Metazoa; Chordata; Mammalia; Carnivora; Felidae
Exons: 3
Source: RefSeq, a predicted model, not a curated record